This 45-nucleotide non-coding RNA is filed under the name Schistosoma margrebowiei. The record is from RNAcentral. Lineage: Eukaryota; Metazoa; Platyhelminthes; Trematoda; Strigeidida; Schistosomatidae.
AUCCUGCUGACGGGUCGUAAAUAGGACGAAACGCGCGUCCUGAAU